This 257-nucleotide long non-coding RNA is filed under the name Carica papaya (papaya). RNAcentral describes it as "long non-coding RNA (CPAP_LNC007563)". Lineage: Eukaryota; Viridiplantae; Streptophyta; Magnoliopsida; Brassicales; Caricaceae. The record is from RNAcentral.
CAUAAAAAUCUUUACUGUCCACUUAUCUCGGUGAGGUCCAUAAAACAACAUAUGAAAGCAAUAACACUAUCAUCAUCAUGAAAUCAUAUGAACUGUAUAACAAAAUACUUACCACACCUUUGCGUUUCAAUCAUUAAACAACACAUUUUCCUUAUUUACCAGCUUACUAGUAUCCAUGGGGAUCCAUAGGGGUCCCGCUACCCGUGAACCAUUAACAUUUAUAACCUGAUUCCAGAGCCGUCCCCAUGCCCCGUCCG